CGACUUGCGAGCUGACUCGACUCGUUGGAGCCCCAUAAAAUUUGCUAAUAAUUUUAGGAAAAUAGAAAAGCCUCCCAAAAAAUUAUAUUUGCUUAAAUAAUUCGAUUUACUCCCAGCGAUUUUAACUUACUGCAGAGAAUUGGAGAAGAAAGAAACAGAGAGGACACUCGUCCCAGCAAAAGCCCCAAUUAAAUUUACCGGUUGGUUUUCCCCACCGCCGGCGGAAUAGAAGUUUGUCCCGAUGCAAAUCCUAGUCUCUAGGCCCCGUUUAAUCGCCCUAUUGAACCGCUCGCCGUUACAUUUGCAUAAAAACGCUUUAAAUCUGCGGCCAUUUUCAUCAACGUCAUCAGAGUACAACCAGUCCCGCGGUGGCCUCCCUCGCUUCUUCUCUGAAACCCUCCCUCCUUCCAAGGUACAUUCCUUUUUUGUGUG
RNAcentral lists this long non-coding RNA (432 nucleotides) under Olea europaea subsp. europaea. The record is from RNAcentral. Lineage: Eukaryota; Viridiplantae; Streptophyta; Magnoliopsida; Lamiales; Oleaceae.